AUUGAACGCUAGCGGGAUGCUUUACACAUGCAAGUCGAACGGCAGCGCGGACUUCGGUCUGGCGGCGAGUGGCGAACGGGUGAGUAAUGUAUCGGAACGUGCCCAGUAGCGGGGGAUAACUACGCGAAAGCGUAGCUAAUACCGCAUACGCCCUACGGGGGAAAGCAGGGGAUCGUAAGACCUUGCACUAUUGGAGCGGCCGAUAUCGGAUUAGCUAGUUGGUGAGGUAACGGCUCACCAAGGCGACGAUCCGUAGCUGGUUUGAGAGGACGACCAGCCACACUGGGACUGAGACACGGCCCAGACUCCUACGGGAGGCAGCAGUGGGGAAUUUUGGACAAUGGGGGCAACCCUGAUCCAGCCAUCCCGCGUGUGCGAUGAAGGCCUUCGGGUUGUAAAGCACUUUUGGCAGGAAAGAAACGUCGCGGGCUAAUACCCCGUGGAACUGACGGUACCUGCAGGAUAAGCACCGGCUAACUACGUG
Molecule: ribosomal RNA, 484 nt
Filed under: uncultured bacterium
Lineage: Bacteria
Description: partial 16S ribosomal RNA
Rfam family: Bacterial small subunit ribosomal RNA
Source: RNAcentral